This 496-nucleotide ribosomal RNA is filed under the name uncultured bacterium. RNAcentral describes it as "partial 16S ribosomal RNA". It matches the Rfam family "Bacterial small subunit ribosomal RNA", at positions 29 to 507 of the family's 1533-position model. The record is from RNAcentral.
AUGAACGCUGGCGGCGUGCCUAAUACAUGCCAGUCGAGCGAACAGAUGAGGAGCUUGCUCCUCUGACGUUAGCGGCGGACGGGUGAGUAACACGUGGAUAACCUACCUAUAAGGCUGGGAUAACUUCGGGAAACCGGAGCUAAUACCGGAUAAUAUAUUGAACCGCAUGGUUCAAUAGUGAAAGACGGUUUUGCUGUCACUUAUAGAUGGAUCCGCGCCGCAUUAGCUAGUUGGUAAGGUAACGGCUUACCAAGGCAACGAUGCGUAGCCGACCUGAGAGGGUGAUCGGCCACACUGGAACUGAGACACGGUCCAGACUCCUACGGGAGGCAGCAGUAGGGAAUCUUCCGCAAUGGGCGAAAGCCUGACGGAGCAACGCCGCGUGAGUGAUGAAGGUCUUCGGAUCGUAAAACUCUGUUAUUAGGGAAGAACAAAUGUGUAAGUAACUAUGCACGUCUUGACGGUACCUAAUCAGAAAGCCACGGCUAACUACGUG